This 74-nucleotide transfer RNA is filed under the name Chamaesiphon sp. Its description in RNAcentral is "tRNA-Arg". It matches the Rfam family "tRNA". Rfam says of the family: Transfer RNA (tRNA) molecules are approximately 80 nucleotides in length. Lineage: Bacteria; Bacillati; Cyanobacteriota; Cyanophyceae; Gomontiellales; Chamaesiphonaceae. The record is from RNAcentral.
GGGUAAAUAGCUCAGUUGGAUAGAGCAACUACCUUCUAAGUAGUCGGUCGGGGGUUCGAGUCCCUCUUUACCCA